This 301-nucleotide ribosomal RNA is filed under the name uncultured bacterium. RNAcentral describes it as "partial 16S ribosomal RNA". It matches the Rfam family "Bacterial small subunit ribosomal RNA", at positions 509 to 807 of the family's 1533-position model. The record is from RNAcentral.
CAGCAGCCGCGGUAAUACGUAGGGUGCGAGCGUUAAUCGGAAUUACUGGGCGUAAAGCGUGCGCAGGCGGUUUGUUAAGACAGAUGUGAAAUCCCCGGGCUUAACCUGGGAACUGCAUUUGUGACUGGCCGGCUAGAGUAUGGCAGAGGGAGGUGGAAUUCCACGUGUAGCAGUGAAAUGCGUAGAUAUGUGGAGGAACACCGAUGGCGAAGGCAGCCUCCUGGGCCAAUACUGACGCUCAUGCACGAAAGCGUGGGGAGCAAACAGGAUUAGAGACCCCAGUAGUCCCUGUCUCUUAUAC